RNAcentral lists this ribosomal RNA (1412 nucleotides) under Escherichia coli. Its description in RNAcentral is "partial 23S ribosomal RNA". It matches the Rfam family "Bacterial large subunit ribosomal RNA", at positions 1551 to 2925 of the family's 2925-position model. Lineage: Bacteria; Pseudomonadati; Pseudomonadota; Gammaproteobacteria; Enterobacterales; Enterobacteriaceae. The record is from RNAcentral.
CAAGGCUGAGGCGUGAUGACGAGGCACUACGGUGCUGAAGCAACAAAUGCCCUGCUUCCAGGAAAAGCCUCUAAGCAUCAGGUAACAUCAAAUCGUACCCCAAACCGACACAGGUGGUCAGGUAGAGAAUACCAAGGCGCUUGAGAGAACUCGGGUGAAGGAACUAGGCAAAAUGGUGCCGUAACUUCGGGAGAAGGCACGCUGAUAUGUAGGUGAAGCGACUUGCUCGUGGAGCUGAAAUCAGUCGAAGAUACCAGCUGGCUGCAACUGUUUAUUAAAAACACAGCACUGUGCAAACACGAAAGUGGACGUAUACGGUGUGACGCCUGCCCGGUGCCGGAAGGUUAAUUGAUGGGGUUAGCGGUAACGCGAAGCUCUUGAUCGAAGCCCCGGUAAACGGCGGCCGUAACUAUAACGGUCCUAAGGUAGCGAAAUUCCUUGUCGGGUAAGUUCCGACCUGCACGAAUGGCGUAAUGAUGGCCAGGCUGUCUCCACCCGAGACUCAGUGAAAUUGAACUCGCUGUGAAGAUGCAGUGUACCCGCGGCAAGACGGAAAGACCCCGUGAACCUUUACUAUAGCUUGACACUGAACAUUGAGCCUUGAUGUGUAGGAUAGGUGGGAGGCUUUGAAGUGUGGACGCCAGUCUGCAUGGAGCCGACCUUGAAAUACCACCCUUUAAUGUUUGAUGUUCUAACGUGGGCCCCUAAUCGGGGUUGCGGACAGUGUCUGGUGGGUAGUUUGACUGGGGCGGUCUCCUCCUAAAGAGUAACGGAGGAGCACGAAGGUUGGCUAAUCCUGGUCGGACAUCAGGAGGUUAGUGCAAUGGCAUAAGCCAGCUUGACUGCGAGCGUGACGGCGCGAGCAGGUGCGAAAGCAGGUCAUAGUGAUCCGGUGGUUCUGAAUGGAAGGGCCAUCGCUCAACGGAUAAAAGGUACUCCGGGGAUAACAGGCUGAUACCGCCCAAGAGUUCAUAUCGACGGCGGUGUUUGGCACCUCGAUGUCGGCUCAUCACAUCCUGGGGCUGAAGUAGGUCCCAAGGGUAUGGCUGUUCGCCAUUUAAAGUGGUACGCGAGCUGGGUUUAGAACGUCGUGAGACAGUUCGGUCCCUAUCUGCCGUGGGCGCUGGAGAACUGAGGGGGGCUGCUCCUAGUACGAGAGGACCGGAGUGGACGCAUCACUGGUGUUCGGGUUGUCAUGCCAAUGGCACUGCCCGGUAGCUAAAUGCGGAAGAGAUAAGUGCUGAAAGCAUCUAAGCACGAAACUUGCCCCGAGAUGAGUUCUCCCUGAGACUUAGAGUCUCCUGAAGGAACGUUGAAGACGACGACGUUGAUAGGCCGGGUGUGUAAGCGCAGCGAUGCGUUGAGCUAACCGGUACUAAUGAACCGUGAGGCUUAACCUUACAACGCCGAAG